Long non-coding RNA from Cuculus canorus (common cuckoo), 9345 nucleotides. RefSeq lists it as uncharacterized. The record is from RefSeq and is a predicted model, not a curated record. The transcript is spliced from 7 exons. Lineage: Eukaryota; Metazoa; Chordata; Aves; Cuculiformes; Cuculidae.
CCAUGGCACCUGUGCGAGCAAGGAGGAAAUGUGGGAUUGGUUUGUUGUCUUUUCGUGCAAAGGGACAGGGCUGAGCUCCUGGGAUGCCCUUACAUGCGCUGACCAAGGCGGUUCCCAACUGGAAGAGUUCAGCACUUUGCUACCCAUCCAGGCAAGCAGCCUGGCUGCCUCCUGCUCUUCAUGCCUCAGCUGAGGCAGAGCUUUUGGCUGUGGGGACAUCGCCAGGUUGUCAAUGACACCCAAUAGCACCCAGCCAGCAAACCUGCACCUGGCAUGAAAUAGGCCUGGGAAGGUCCUGCUCCACCCCUGGAGUGCUGGGAGGUUGGAUGAGGGUCUGGGUACAGAGGAUGCUUGACAACACCAGCUAGAUGUCAGCUCUCAGAAGAGCCAGCAGCCACCACCCCGCAGCCGUGGCCCUGCUGCGCUCCGUGUCCAUGCAAACACUCACUCACAUGCAUCCUGGCUCCGAGGCAACGACAGUGAGCAGAUGGAAGGGACUUGCUGCAGUCCCACGUUGAGGCAAUGACAAAGCCGCCACCAGAGCACAAGGUCAGCUCCUGCUCAGAGCAUCCCUGCUGUGCCGUGGGCAUGGUGCCGAUGCCUGCAGCUUCCACUACCUGCAGCUCCUCAUGUCUUUUGGGAGGGAGUUUUGUUCCCUUUCAGCAGUCGCUUGGCUUCAGCUCGGUGACAGCAGAGCCACGCUUGAGGCUGUGCAGUCGCCUGCUCCAACACCAGACUCUGCGGGAAGAGGUUUCCGCUGGAGACGCACAAAUCUCUUUACCACGGGAGACUGGAGACAUCUGAGAGUGGGGAGGUCAAAUUGGCACUUAAUGAGCCAAUUAAGUCAGAAGAGGGAGAAACAAGUCUCAGAGCAGGGAAGGCAUCUCCUGACUUGCAUGCCCCCAGCCCCUCUGCCCCCUGUCCCAGCUGCUGGAUUAAAGACUCAUUAAAUGCCUGUGCGAACAUGCGCUUGCUGAGGAGGUGGAGGCUGGCUCUGGGGAGGGUGGCAGAGCUGGCCGUGCCUUGGGAAGCAUCAGGGGGAGCAGGCAGCGCUGCCACAGGCAGGACAGGGACAUGGCUGGGGACGAGUCACCUGCAGCGAUGACACCGGUGCCGCAGCAUGAGGCAGAUCCAGCUACAGCACAAGCCCUGCCCUUGGGAGCCAGAGAGAGCUGCCUUCAGGGUGGCCAGGACGGGGAUGUGGGGCAGCUUUGAGGCUAGUUCAGCAACCUGCUAGGAGCAAGCGAGUCGUGCAGGUGUGGGAGAAGUUGUCAGGGCUGCAGGACUGCUUUGUAGCUCGGGCACCGUGUCCUUGCUGUUAGAAGCAAGCAAUGAGAAAGCACAAAACCUCACAGAAGGAGGUAGGAUGGAGUCUGGAGCCAAAAAAAGCUGGGGCUGAGAGGAACACUGAGGUUGCUGUAGCUUUCUCCAUUUCUGGCAGCAUCAGCACUCCUUCUACCACAUCUAAAGCAGGGUCCUGCAGCUUCACCCUGUGGUCAGAUCUCACACCUGACUGCCAUCAUCACCAGCAUCAUCACCAUCAUCGUGUGGCCGGCCAGACAGCAACGCAGCACAGGGAGGGAGUGUGCCUGUUGCUGGCACCAGCAGCCUGGGGAUGGGCUCAGAGCAAGGGCUCCCUGGCACAGGCGGGUCCUGAGGAGCACGAGACUCACGGCUGGAUGACAAGGAGAAGCUUCUUCUGAGCCCUGCCACGGCCUUCAGACAGACAAAGACACCAGCCAGCAGAGAAGCUUUAUGCUGCUAGAUUAGUUCCUUGGGUGAUUAAUUGCUCUCACCAUUAAAGAACAGUGGCUAUUAACAGCUUUUCUACUUGCUCCAUUUUGGACAUUCAUCUACUCACUUUGCUCUGCACUGGCAUAAAUCAGAGCAGUUCCACUGAUGGCUUUAUUCCAGGAGAGAAUUCAUCUCCAGACAUUUGUAUUUUGGAAAAGAGAAGUGGCAGAAGCAGAUGCUGCUGGCCAGGGAUUGGGGAGAAGUUGUACAGAUGACCAAGGCAGAAGUACUGUGGCUUUGGAUGGGCAUGGUGAAGGGCAGGCAGCAUCCUCCAGACCUUGAACAGACCUGAGGCUCUAGAGCUCCAAUCUGGUUUCAAUCCAACCGGAUUUUGGUGAGUUAGAGGAUAAGGCUCAAGCUGGGCAGGCACUAGGUCCCCAUACAGCAAUAAAGACCAGAAUUUUCCAUCUGCGUACUAGUCUGGAUGACCCUUGGAUUAAAGACAUCCCUGAAAACCAGCACACGGUGAAGAAAAAGACAUCCCGUGUUCCGUGGGAUAAAGCUUCCUCAGCACAGGAAUGCCCCUCUGGCUCUGAUGUCCCCGUGUGUGAAGCAGAGCGUGCGUCCUGAGCAAAGGACACAAAUGAACAGCACAGGCAAGAUCAGAUUAUGCGAAAUCCCCUGCUCACUUGACCUCCUUCACGUCCCAUCUUCUAUUUAUAUGCCUCGGGGCUGCCAGGGACAGUGCAGGUUGUCCUUGGCCCACAGUGGCAGGGCUAGGGGUUCAGCUGGGGGGUUGGGGUUAGACUUGGCCCCCGGAGCUGGCUGCCACCGUCUGAGAAAAAGAAGUUUGAAGGGUUUCCUCCUAUCAGCGUUGGCUGUAGGGUCUGUUCCCCCUCACUGGAGGUGAUAACUGAAAUGCUAACCUGGACUAACCUCCUUGUCGAGGGACACACAGUCCAACAGGUAUCGCCUGGGCUUCCAUGCUUGGGUUUCCUCAACAAGUAGUGAUUUAUUCUUUGGUUUACGUGACAUUUCACGAGAAGGUCCUUGCCAGGGGCCAGGGCUGCUUAUUGAUGUCUGCUCUGUUUGUCUUUCUCAUGUUCCACCCCUCCGCUGCUCACCACCCAUGCUUGUGCGCUCCGUGGGCUUAGGGAGCUGGAGAUGCUGCUGACCUGGAGCCCAGGGCUUGGUCUCAGUGUUGGUCCAGCGCAGGGCGACACAGGUCAGUAAGAACCCAAAGGAACACCCAAAAGAACCUGCUGGAAGAGCCACAUCUGCGAGAAGAAUCAUCUUCCAUGGAGAACUCUUGGAGAGGGAACAGGUUGGGGACUUUGUGGAGCAGGGCUGGACUAUGGCAAAUCAAAGGAGGCACUUUGGGGAAGCAAAAUGUGGGUUUGCCUUCACUGCUGCUAUCUCAGACCUCUCGCCACAGGCUGGGCACGAUUCCCUGGGCCCCACGAGGGUUAUUUUCUUAGGACAUGGAGCCAGGGCCAUGGAGAGAAGGAGCAUUUGGUGCCUGCAACCUCUCCCCCCACAAGGACCCUGGUCGCACCCCACACGUUGCGCUGCAAGGUGAGAACCGACCCUCUGCACCUCAGGCUGGAGAAAACAGAGCCGGUAGCUUGGCAUCAUCUGGAUUUAAAUUUCCAGCUUAGUCCCCUCUGGGAAGCAGGACGUGACCUCCUCAUUUCCACCACCCAGGCAUGGCUGGCAGCCAGCAGCAGCGGCACAGGGCUCUGCAUCUCCGGGCUGAAGCAAUCAGCGCACAGCAGGCAUGCACAGACAGCUGAAUUUCUGUACGACUUUAAAUACAUUAGCAAGGCCACAAACACAGCUCCAAAGUGCCGCAAGUGCAGCUGAGCUGAUAAAUCACCCCCAACCCCACCAGCAAGAAAAUAUCCCCCCAUCAUUCCAUGGGAGACAAGGCUUAGCACCACUUUCCCCCUUGUAUCUGGAGCAGAUCCGCUCUCUGCCUUGUUGUAUUUGAAUCCAGUACCACAAGGGUCAAUUGUAUGCCACUUCUGCGGAGUCAUUAUACUGUUGGUUAUAUAAAUGUCUGGGCAUGCACAAAAGGCAGUGCUGAUACAGUGACUCCAACACCAACUCCCUCCAACACCUGCUUUUCAGCUGGAGAGAAAGCCGAGCACAAGAACAUCUCGAGAGCUGUCACACAGAAAGCUGCUGUCUUUCAAGCUGAAUGGAGGUCUAAAUAGCUCUCACAUCUCCUUUAGAAUCUCAUUUCUAAAUGCAAUUAAUACUGGCACAUGCAUAAUGAGAGACUGACGAGUGAAUACAGAUGCUGGCAAUAAAGAAGCCAGCCCCGAGCGCUAUGUAAGUAUUACAAAUCCUCACUAGAAGCUGACCUGGGAAGACAGCUUUCCAAUGAUUAAAUCCAAGUGACAAUAUGACUGGAUUCCUACAUCUGUCACAAUACUACCUGCCGACACAUAAUGAGCUACGCUAAAAGAACUAGCUCUUGCUGCUCUUCAAUGCAGAUAAAAUGCCUAUUCAUAGAAUGUAAUUAAUCUCUUCUUCAAAAUCAGGAACCUUAGUGUCCUUGGUAACAACAUGGCAGUGACUCAGAGAGCGACUCCAGCUUUUUCUUCUGAUUUUCAAGUGAGUUGUUGAAAGUGACCCCAAAUUCUAGCACUGAAAAGGAGCUGUGCUUCAGAAAUGGAAAAGCCAGCUGGGUAUCUGGAGGUGGGGACAGGUUUUACCCAUGUCUCCGGUCUCUGCAGGCUCCUUUGGCAUCUUAAGGAGGCUCCUGGGCUUGUUUCAGCCAUUUUCCCUAGGAUGAGACCAGUCUUGUCCCAAGACCUGAUCCCUCAACCCACCGAGCACGAAUUCCCUUUUGUCAUCAGGUGUAGCCACACCGGGAAUAACACUGAAAGCAGAGCAAGGGUGCGAAUCGCAGGUUGAAGCUGGUCUCUGCCUGGUUUGCACAGGCAACACCCGCUGUGCGACUGCACCAGGUGCGUGUACACAUGCACACAUGCGUGUGGCUUCUCCCUCAGUUGACGUUUGAGCCUGCUGGCUUACUUCAGCCAACUUUGGCAGCGGAUAGAGGUUCAGAGGCAUCCAGUCUCAUCCAGGUAGCAAAGAGGCAAAGCCACAAGCACUGACGUGGCAGAGGGAUGCAGGGAUGCUGCCAGAGCCUCUGGGCCCUGUGAGGGUUGUGCUUGGGUAUCACCUGCUCCUCCAGCCCCCCUGCUCUGAGCUGGCUGAAAUGGGGGCCAAAACGUGCUGGGCCACUCCAAAGCACCCAGGGGCCAUAUCUGCUUUCUAUGAAUUUCAGUGGGAAGCAACCACUGCUGCGUGUCGCUCACUAACCCAGUUCCAAAGCCCAGGGGAAGGAUGGGCUGCGAUAAAGGGACAGCUGUGUGGAGAGAGCGGCUGAUGGAGGACUUUCAUGAUUUAUUUCCUGACAGCAACAACAACAACAAAAGAUAAAAUCAGCAUAUUCCAGGCUAAGCUGUGCUGCAACAAUCCCUCGUGGGACUUGAGCUGAGGCACCCCGAGGGAGAGGAAGAGACCAGGACAGAGGCUGGCUCCGACCCUUGCACCACGUAACAUCACUUUGGAGCUAAAGCCAGUGAACCCAGGGAGUGAGGGCUGCCUCCAGGCUGUCAAUCUGCGGCUCCCAGCAAGGGCUGGGCAACUCGUACUGCUCUCCUGGCCCUGGGAAGAAAACUUUGGUGUCGAAGGCUCCCCUGUGCCCUGCAGCAGGCACCCAGCACAUCCCAGCCUCAGCGCACACCGAAAUCCCUGGCACAACACCCCACACCACCAAUCCACACGCCGACAGACCCACAUCACCCAGGUUCCCCUCCUGCAGCUUGGGGGGGACCAGGCAGCGGGUUAAAUGCUGCUGCAGACAAGAAAUUUGCCUGUUUGUAAGGCUGAGCCCGGGGGGAGUGUGGGCAGCCCCACAGCGAUGCCCUCUGCGAGCCAUAACUCAGCCUGUGCGUCUGGGGUCAUCAGGCAUCCCGCUCUCAGCCGUGGGGUCCGCAUACCCUCUGCAGCUUUCCCAUCUCUGCAAAUAUGAUAAUAAAAGAUCAGUUUGCAGACACAGCUUGCUGUAGAUGACAGCAUUAGAGACGCAUCUGUUUCUACUAUGCACCAGUCUCAUGCUGGGUUUAUUUGGUCCAUUUGCGGCAGGGAAGAGUUGCUUUCGGCAUUCAGAGAUGUCUCGUGUCUGGGAGAAGGUGGGGGGGAGGAUAUAUUUUUGGCUCUAUUUAGCCACAAAAAUUUGGUUUUAGAAUAAAAAAAAAAAAAACAAUCAGUUUUCUGCUUGCUGCCAAACUGAUUUCUUGUGCAAGCCUUCAUUUGUUUGAGAACUCUGUGUCCUGUUGGAAAAAUAAAUGCUCUGAUGGGAAAAGUCUAUCAAGCGUGUAUUGAUCAGUCAUCGGUGGACUUGCAAACAUCAGCUUCAUCCAAACUGAAAAAGCAGUUGCCAAAGUUUUUGCCAAUACUUGAGAGGCAGAAGGAGACAAGUCUUCGCUUUCUCGGUAAGUGAAGAACCAGUUACAGAGCACAAUCCUUUCUGUGGGCACAGUUGUUCUGGCCUCCCCAUGGCUGGCACGAAUUUUCAGUGCCAACUACACUCCUUUUUCACCCAGAAUGAGCUCUUUGCUCAUUGCUGAGAGCCAAACAUUGCUGGUGGCCACGAGCAGGACGCAGCGAUGCAGGAAGGAGAGCAGUGGGGAAAAAGCCUGGGAUGUGGCUCCUGCUUGGGAUACUCCCCGCUGCUGGCAGCAAUAUCUCCCCAUCCUGGGGCUAUAAGCUAAGGCCAGACACACAGACAAGGGCUCCCAGCGCUUGGUUUUCCCCAGUGAUAGUUUCACAAACGUCUACAGAGUUUUCCUAAUAGAUUUUCCCCACCCCCAAAGAUUUUUAAUUAAGCCUUUACAACCUCAACUCACUUCAAACAAUUUAUUUUUCUUCUUUUGGUAAAGAAAUAUUAUGAUAAGGAAGAAUAAAACAGCUGUUUUACCUGAGCUGCCUUCAUUUUAUAGCAGAUUAAAAGCAAGAUUGAAAGUCAAUAAUGCCUGGAAGGGGCAGAGGGGGGAUCAGAUGAUGAAUACAAUGUACAAAGGCAGCAGAGAAGAGGUUGGGGGCUGGAAAGACAAAAGCUUAUCAGGAUUGAAGCCUCAAAAGCAGAAUCAGCUCCUCAGAUGAUAGAAAUCACCUGGACUCUGCUGACAUGCUGGUAUUGCUGUAGCACAGCUUUUAUGUAUUGAUUUAAGGGAAAGUGAAGGUCAGGGGCUUAACUGCAGAGGAGGCAUCAGGACUGAAGCCCUUCUGCCCUGGAUGGGCAGUGAUGAGCAACAAGGAGGAUCUGCAUUCAGGCAAGGUUGGACACGGGCUGGAAAGGACCCUGAGGCAAACGUGCACACACUGGAGCUAUGACAGCCCCGGUGACUGGGAGCAGAGCCCCUCACAGCCCACUGACAGGAGCCAACUGGAGCCCCAGUUUGCUGCCUUAACUCAGGCAGAGUCGCCCUGAGCUUAGGGAAAAUCCAGAUUUCAGCCUGGACCUUACCAUCAGUAACUCUGACCUUUUUCCCUGUCUGGACUAACACAAAAAAUCCCAGAAAGGACAACGUGGGGCCAGCUGGAGAUGGUGCCUGCAAACGUUACAGUGCUGCUGGGAACAGGGUCACUGCACUGUGAACCUGGGUGUGCAAACAUCGCCUGCUAAAUCGGCUGCACGGGGGUGUUGUAGAUUUGGGGGAUAAAGGUUUCCUGAGCUGCAGAAAGGCCAGCUCUCUGCCUGGGGACCUUUGAGAGGGCGGAUUUUGUGAGAAAUGUUCUUUAUUUACUCAAUCAACCGCAGCCAGCAGCUGAGCUAAGAGCGGGUGAGUCUGCCCUUAGCAAGCGGCUGCGGAGGGCUGCUCGCCGCAAGGAGGUGUUUGCUGUCUGCACUGAGAUUUGUGAUGGUCCCAAAAGGCUCUUGGUGGGUAGGAGUGGGAAUUGGCUUAACCUUGUUAACUGCAUCCUCUGCACCAGCCAAAACCAUCCUUGGCUUUACAAGAAACACAGAAUUGGUAGUGAUAGCCCUCAUGGACCACGUAUGGUGUCACCAGCAGUUCUCCAAGGGAUGGGAUGCUCAUGAUCCUGAGGGCUGAAGGAUGUGGUCCCACCAUGCAGUCCUGCAGUUGCAUUCCUGCCGAGGAGAUGCCAUUUGCUUGAGGUGGAAGGGAGGAUUGAAACAUCUCCGCUCUUCUUCUUUCCAUCUCUGUUCCCACUAAAACACACUUUGGGAAAAAAACAAAAGGGAAAUGAAAUGAGGACCACGCCUGGAUAGGACAAGGAACAACAAUGAAAGAGGAAAACAAGAUGGGAAAAGGGAAAAAAAAGCAUCAAGAGAGAAUAUUUCUUUAGCGAAGACAUAAACUAAGGGACGAACCAACCUGCCCCGGCAUGUUCCCAUGACUGCAGCAGGUCCUAUCAGCCCCUGAGCAGCAGGAGGAGAUGCCCUGAGAGCAACUUCAGCAUCCAGCAUGCAGGGAAUGGAGCUGAGCGUGCAGGAGGAGCUGUUUCCAGAUGCCUCACAGCAUCCUCCCAAAAAGGUACCCAGCUUCCCUAGCCUCUUGCCUAGGCUUUCUGCUUGCUUUCAGCAUCUCUAGUGCUGCCCUGCCUGCCAGAGGGUCACCGCCUGCGAUUCUGUCACUGCAUAGGAUUGCUUUCCCUGUUUGGCAAAGAAAACAAGCAGCCAAAGGCCUGUAGGGGCUGUGAACUUGCCUGUCACGUUCUCUGACAGUAUCAAAACCUUUUGUUGCUUGUUUUUUUCCCAAACUGUCACCGCUCAUCAAACCCCUUGUUUAAAUCUUUGAUCCUGAAAGCUUUCCUGAGCCCUCUGCAAAACAAAGGGAAAGUGCGUGGUCUGUUCUCCAAGGAGAUUGGACACCACCUCAAAAGCAAAGAGGCUGACGAUGCCAGAGCUCCCUACAGCAGGUACAGCAGAGCCAAGCGUUCGUGCUGUGCUGUGUGGCUGCCAGAGGUGGGAGGAAGGCAGCCUGCUAACCCCCAGCUUCCUCCUCUCUCUCAAACCCCUCAGCUCCUGCUUUUCGGCUCAGGGAAGGACGGAAGGGAAAGGAGAGGGCUCAGCCCUCUUGUUUGCUCUCUGCUGAGCAGCACUGUUCUCUCGCCCCCAUUUCCCCUAUUGCUGCUAUUUGCUAUUUGACCUGAGCAGCCCAGAGGAAUUUUAGUCACGGUGCAUUCCUAGCACAGCAUCUGUUUUCUAGAGCAAAACAGGAACAGCUGCCAAGAAACAAAUCUUCCCUUGAUGCCUGGCACUUCUCAUGGGUGGAACGAAGCUUCUUGGAAAAGGGAAAACCACCAGAGCUCAGCUGCCGCAAACCCCAUCCCACUCUACCCCGCACCCUCCAGGGAUUUCUGCAGUGCAAGGGGGCUCAGACAGAGACUAAUUAUCAUCAUGAUAGCAUCCAUGUGGUACCACUUUGAAAGCCUUGAGUGAAAGAGAAGCUAAAGAGAGAUCUCUUCAUCGAGCUAAAGAGCUCUGUGGCAAAGAGAGUACUCCGGCUGACCCCCUAGUCCCAGCACCCAAGUCCAGCUGUGCCCAGUGUCCUUCUACCUGUCCAAGCC